UACCAGACUCCUACGGGAGGCAGCAGUGGGGAAUAUUGCACAAUGGGGGAAACCCUGAUGCAGCGACGCCGCGUGAGUGAAGAAGUAUCUCGGUACGUAAAGCUCUAUCAGCAGGGAAGAAAAUGACGGUACCUGAUUAAGAAGCCCCGGCUAACUACGUGCCAGCAGCCGCGGUAAUACGUAGGGGGCAAGCGUUAUCCGGAUUUACUGGGUGUAGAGGGAGCGUAGACGGUUAAGUAAGUCUGGAGUGAAAGGCCGGGGCCCAACCCCGGGACUGCUCUGGAAACUAUUCAACUUGAGUGCAGGAGAGGUAAGCGGAAUUCCUAGUGUAGCGGUGAAAUGCGUAGAUAUUAGGAGGAACACCAGUGGCGAAGGCGGCCUGCUGGACGAUGACUGACGUUGAGGCUCGAAAGCGUGGGGAGCAAACAGGAUUAGAUACCCGCGUA
This 446-nucleotide ribosomal RNA is filed under the name uncultured bacterium. RNAcentral's name for it is "bacterial SSU rRNA". It matches the Rfam family "Bacterial small subunit ribosomal RNA", at positions 329 to 792 of the family's 1533-position model. The record is from RNAcentral.